CCGCCAUAUUGCCCUAUUGUUAUAAAAAGAAUUUUAUUGAAGAAAGAAGUUUCUAUCAACGAAGUGUAAUAUUUUAUAAUAUUUAAUUGUCUCCGCAGAAACGUGCGACGAAGAAGAAGCGCAAAACUAAGAAAAGGGAUUUCGGAGAGAAGCCAAACGACCAAGAAGAGACACAUUAGGUAUAUUCCAAGUUUGCAUGGCGGAACGCCCCUGUCCAUAUUCUCUCGCGGUUCGCGAAUGUCACAUUUAGAUAUUAUAUAUACCAGAGAAAGAGAAGAAAGAUGCAAAAUUCACGGAUAACUGGAGAAGGACCGAGAGGAAAAUAUCAAAUAGAAAUUUAAAAAAAUUGAUUGAGAAAAAAAAAUCAUCAACAGAAAUUAUAUAGAAAAAAAGGACGAACCAAAAAAUAAUGAAAAUCAAAAUAAACAAAAUGAAAUUUGGAAAAUUAAUAUAUAAUCCAGAAGAAUAUUUUUUUUUUCUAUUUACGACAAAGAGCAGAAGAAGAUGAUGAUGCUGUGGAAUUGGAAAUUAUUGGAACCGAUGAUGAGAGAAUAUCGUGAACAGAAUGUGAACUUGGCCAAUGGACUCCGUAAUUUUGAUUGGAAAUUGACGAUGUCGUCGAUGGUGAUGGAG
Molecule: long non-coding RNA, 633 nt
Organism: Leptopilina boulardi
Lineage: Eukaryota; Metazoa; Arthropoda; Insecta; Hymenoptera; Figitidae
Exons: 4
Source: RefSeq, a predicted model, not a curated record